AUUACCGCGGCUGCUGGCACGUAGUUAGCCGGGGCUUCUUAGUCAGGUACCGUCACUAUCUUCCCUGCUGAUAGAAGUUUACAUACCGAGAUACUUCUUCCUUCACGCGGCGUCGCUGCAUCAGGGUUUCCCCCAUUGUGCAAUAUUCCCCACUGCUGCCUCCCGUAGG
Molecule: ribosomal RNA, 169 nt
Filed under: uncultured bacterium
Lineage: Bacteria
Description: partial 16S ribosomal RNA
Source: RNAcentral